RNAcentral lists this ribosomal RNA (477 nucleotides) under uncultured bacterium. RNAcentral describes it as "partial 16S ribosomal RNA". It matches the Rfam family "Bacterial small subunit ribosomal RNA", at positions 28 to 523 of the family's 1533-position model. The record is from RNAcentral.
GACGAACGCUGGCGGCGUGCCUAACACAUGCAAGUCGAACGGUAAGGCCCUUCGGGGUACACGAGUGGCGAACGGGUGAGUAACACGUGAGCAAUCUGCCCUUGACUCUGGGAUAACUGCGGGAAACUGUAGCUAAUACCGGAUACGACACCUUGGGGCAUCCCAGGGUGUGGAAAGAAUUUCGGUCAAGGAUGAGCUCGCGGCCUAUCAGCUAGUUGGGGAGGGAAUGGCUCACCAAGGCGACGACGGGUAGCCGGCCUGAGAGGGUGACCGGCCACACUGGAACUGAGACACGGUCCAGACUCCUACGGGAGGCAGCAGUGGGGAAUAUUGCACAAUGGGCGCAAGCCUGAUGCAGCAACGCCGCGUGAGGGAUGACGGCCUUCGGGUUGUAAACCUCUUUUAGUAGGGAAGAAGCGAAAGUGACGGUACCUGCAGAAAAAGCACCGGCUAACUACGUGCCAGCCGCCGCGGUAA